AGACCACCAGCUAAGGUCCCAAAAUAUAUGUUAAGUGGAAAAGGAUGUGGCGUUGCCCAGACAACUAGGAUGUUGGCUUAGAAGCAGCCAUCAUUUAAAGAGUGCGUAAUAGCUCACUAGUCGAGUGACACUGCGCCGAAAAUGUACCGGGGCUAAACAUAUUACCGAAGCUGUGGAUUGUCCUUUGGACAAUGGUAGGAGAGCGUUCUAAGGGCGUUGAAGCAUGAUCGUAAGGACAUGUGGAGCGCUUAGAAGUGAGAAUGCCGGUGUGAGUAGCGAAAGACGGGUGAGAAUCCCGUCCACCGAUUGACUAAGGUUUCCAGAGGAAGGCUCGUCCGCUCUGGGUUAGUCGGGUCCUAAGCUGAGGCCGACAGGCGUAGGCGAUGGAUAACAGGUUGAUAUUCCUGUACCACCUAUAAUCGUUUUAAUCGAUGGGGGGACGCAGUAGGAUAGGCGAAGCGUGCGAUUGGAUUGCACGUCUAAGCAGUAAGGCUGAGUAUUAGGCAAAUCCGGUACUCGUUAAGGCUGAGCUGUGAUGGGGAGAAGACAUUGUGUCUUCGAGUCGUUGAUUUCACACUGCCGAGAAAAGCCUCUAGAUAGAAAAUAGGUGCCCGUACCGCAAACCGACACAGGUAGUCAAGAUGAGAAUUCUAAGGUGAGCGAGCGAACUCUCGUUAAGGAACUCGGCAAAAUGACCCCGUAACUUCGGGAGAAGGGGUGCUCUUUAGGGUUAACGCCCAGAAGAGCCGCAGUGAAUAGGCCCAAGCGACUGUUUAUCAAAAACACAGGUCUCUGCUAAACCGUAAGGUGAUGUAUAGGGGCUGACGCCUGCCCGGUGCUGGAAGGUUAAGAGGAGUGGUUAGCUUCUGCGAAGCUACGAAUCGAAGCCCCAGUAAACGGCGGCCGUAACUAUAACGGUCCUAAGGUAGCGAAAUUCCUUGUCGGGUAAGUUCCGACCCGCACGAAAGGCGUAACGAUUUGGGCACUGUCUCAACGAGAGACUCGGUGAAAUCAUAGUACCUGUGAAGAUGCAGGUUACCCGCGACAGGACGGAAAGACCCCGUGGAGCUUUACUGUAGCCUGAUAUUGAAAUUCGGCACAGCUUGUACAGGAUAGGUAGGAGCCUUUGAAACGUGAGCGCUAGCUUACGUGGAGGCGCUGGUGGGAUACUACCCUAGCUGUGUUGGCUUUCUAACCCGCACCACUUAUCGUGGUGGGAGACAGUGUCAGGCGGGCAGUUUGACUGGGGCGGUCGCCUCCUAAAAGGUAACGGAGGCGCUCAAAGGUUCCCUCAGAAUGGUUGGAAAUCAUUCAUAGAGUGUAAAGGCAUAAGGGAGCUUGACUGCGAGACCUACAAGUCGAGCAGGGUCGAAAGACGGACUUAGUGAUCCGGUGGUUCCGCAUGGAAGGGCCAUCGCUCAACGGAUAAAAGCUACCCCGGGGAUAACAGGCUUAUCUCCCCCAAGAGUUCACAUCGACGGGGAGGUUUGGCACCUCGAUG
RNAcentral lists this ribosomal RNA (1501 nucleotides) under Staphylococcus aureus. RNAcentral describes it as "partial 23S ribosomal RNA". It matches the Rfam family "Bacterial large subunit ribosomal RNA", at positions 1029 to 2531 of the family's 2925-position model. Lineage: Bacteria; Bacillati; Bacillota; Bacilli; Caryophanales; Staphylococcaceae. The record is from RNAcentral.